GGACCCGCACAAGCGGUGGAACAUGUGGUUUAAUUCGAUGCUACGCGAAAAACCUUACCAAGUCUUGACAUGUUAGUCGUAUGACUAGGAAACUAGUCAGUCAGUUCGGCUGGACUAUCACAGGUGUUGCAUGGCUGUCGUCAGCUCGUGUCGUGAGAUGUUGGGUUAAGUCCCGCAACGAGCGCAACCCUUAUCUUUAGUUGCCAACAGGUUAUGCUGGGAACUUUAAAGAAACUGCCAAUGGAGAAUUGGAGGAAGGCGAGGAUGAUGUCAAGUCAGUAUGGCCCUUAUGACUUGGGCUACACACGUGUUACAAUGGUAGCUACAGUAUGAUGCAAUAGGGCGACCUGGAGCAAAUCUAUAAAAGCUACCUCAGUUCGGAUUGCACCCUGCAACUCGGGUGCAUGAAGUUGGAAUCGCUAGUAAUCG
This 429-nucleotide ribosomal RNA is filed under the name uncultured bacterium. RNAcentral describes it as "bacterial SSU rRNA". It matches the Rfam family "Bacterial small subunit ribosomal RNA", at positions 917 to 1344 of the family's 1533-position model. The record is from RNAcentral.